CAGUCGCCACGGUAAUACGGAGGGGGCUAGCGUUGUUCGGAAUUACUGGGCGUAAAGCGCACGUAGGCGGCUUUGUAAGUCAGAGGUGAAAGCCCGGGGCUCAACCCCGGAAUUGCCUUUGAGACUGCAUCGCUUGAAUCCAGGAGAGGUGAGUGGAAUUCCGAGUGUAGAGGUGAAAUUCGUAGAUAUUCGGAAGAACACCAGUGGCGAAGGCGGCUCACUGGACUGGUAUUGACGCUGAGGUGCGAAAGCGUGGGGAGCAAACAGGAUUAGAUACCCCCGUAGUCCCUGUCUCUUAUAC
Molecule: ribosomal RNA, 301 nt
Filed under: uncultured bacterium
Lineage: Bacteria
Description: partial 16S ribosomal RNA
Rfam family: Bacterial small subunit ribosomal RNA
Source: RNAcentral